AUGUGACGGUUCCUGUUAGCAGGGAUUGGUUAAAGCAGCAAUGCGCUUUUAGAUUGGUCCAUGGCUGAUUAGCUAGUUGGUGGGGUAAAGGCCUACAAAGGCGACGAUCAGUAGCCGGCCUGAGAGGGUGAACGGCCACAAUGGAACUGAGACACGGUCC
Molecule: ribosomal RNA, 160 nt
Filed under: Leptospira sp. DOB1
Lineage: Bacteria; Pseudomonadati; Spirochaetota; Leptospiria; Leptospirales; Leptospiraceae
Description: partial 16S ribosomal RNA
Rfam family: Bacterial small subunit ribosomal RNA
Source: RNAcentral